Molecule: long non-coding RNA, 898 nt
Filed under: Mytilus galloprovincialis (Mediterranean mussel)
Lineage: Eukaryota; Metazoa; Mollusca; Bivalvia; Mytilida; Mytilidae
Source: RNAcentral
CGCGGUACGAUUCAGAAUUCGGCAAAUGUUGAAACAAAGAGUUUUAAAAUUUUGCAGGCACUACGACAACUAAACAUGCGCGAAAGCGUAUAAGACACGGAUCGAUAACGGUCUCCAAAAUUGUAUAUAUUCUCGAAAUAAUACGUUUUCUGUUGACAAAAUAUUGUUUCAAAGACAACAUUUUGAAGUUCAACAUGCUACACAUAUACGUCAUAUCACAAACAUUCUUUGUAUGGUUUUAAGGACGUUGCAGCUCAAUGUAAUCGGUAUCUUCCUUUAAAAGUAUAGAAACACAGCAUACACUGUAUAAAUCACUUAUUUAUCUAUUGCAGGUUUUCCUUUUUUUGAUUUACAUCUGCUGUAAAGGUAAACAAGGUAAUUUUGCUAUAUGAAAUCAAUGAAACAGUACAUUAACAAAUCGUACCGUCGCAUGAUAUGAUACACCACAAGGAUCAGAAGCGAAUUUUAGGCAGAACGGGAUAUUCAAUUUGUAUUUCAGUGUCACAUUGAUUAGUCUUAACUAGUUAUAUAUUGGUUAAGUUAUCAAUAUGCACAUACAGUGGACAAUGAGUUGUAAUCAAUUGACGUCUACGUGGAAUCAAUACUAUUGAUUAACGUAUAUAUAACUUCUUUCUGUAGAGCAAAACCAAACAAUUUUCAAAAAUGUCUUCGAGUUUAUUUUAAAAGUUCGGAAAGAUUUCAAAUUGUCUAGAUAGCAAACUACGAUCGCACACCCAUGAUCAUCUAAGUAAAAUUCUUCCCCCUUUUUUGUCCUUUUUCUUUUUUCUUUUUUUAAUCUUGUAUAAUUUUUUGGUGUUGGUUUUCGAAAUAUUCAUUUAUUUUUUUAUUUUUUUUUCUGUAUUAUUAUUAUUUUCUUUUUCUUCAAUUUUCAGUCUUU